Molecule: ribosomal RNA, 770 nt
Filed under: uncultured Neocallimastigales
Lineage: Eukaryota; Fungi; Neocallimastigomycota; Neocallimastigomycetes; Neocallimastigales
Description: partial large subunit ribosomal RNA
Rfam family: Eukaryotic large subunit ribosomal RNA
Source: RNAcentral
UCAGACGAUGCGUCAUGCAUAUCAAUAAGCGGAGGAAAAGAAACUAACAAGGAUUCCCUUAGUAACGGCGAGUGAAGCGGGAAGAGCUCAAAUUUGAAAUCUUGAAAGGUCACCUUUCACGAAUUGUAGUUUAAAGAAGUGUUUUCUGUUACGAUCGUAACAUAAGUUCUUUGGAAUAGGACAUCACAGAGGGUGAGAAUCCCGUCUAUGAUUGCGAUUUGUAGCUUUGUGAUACACUUUCAAAGAGUCGGGUUGUUUGGGAAUGCAGCCCAAAACGGGAGGUAAAUUUCUUCUAAGGCUAAAUAUUGGCGAGAGACCGAUAGCGAACAAGUACCGUGAGGGAAAGAUGAAAAGAACUUUGAAAAGAGAGUUAAAUAGUACGUGAAAUUGUCAAAAGGGAAGCGUUUAACACCAGUGUUGUUUUCUGAAAAUCAACCUCUGUUAGCUUUAUGCAUGUUUGUUUAGACCUAAUCAGCUAUCUUGCAUGUUCUAUUGUUUGCAGUGGUGCACUUUUCAGUUUACAGGUCAACAUCAGUUUUUUUUACCGUAAAAAAGUUAAAGAAAGGUAGCUCAUGGCUCCGGUCGUGAGUGUUAUAGUCUUUUUCCUAUGCGGUAGGAGAGACUGAGGUCUGCAGUGUAGGCUAUUUGGCUAGAUACUCAGGUGCUAUGUGAUACCAUUUCAUAAACAACUUGUUGAUCAUGUUUUGUCUAUUGCAUACUCGCUUGUACUAUCAUACCUACGCUUAGGAUGUUGACUGAUAUGUAGUCGU